UACGUAGGGGGCAAGCGUUGUCCGGAUUUAUUGGGCGUAAAGAGCUCGUAGGUGGUUCGGUAAGUCGGAUGUGAAAUCUCCAGGCUCAACCUGGAGGGGUCAUUCGAUACUGCCGUGACUAGAGGUCGGUAGGGGAGUGUGGAAUUCCUGGUGGAGCGGUGGAAUGCGUAGAGAUCCGGAAGAACACCGGUGGCGAAGGCGGCCUGCUGGGCAGUGGCUGACACUGAGGCGCGACAGCGUGGGGAGCAAACAGG
This 254-nucleotide ribosomal RNA is filed under the name uncultured bacterium. RNAcentral describes it as "partial 16S ribosomal RNA". It matches the Rfam family "Bacterial small subunit ribosomal RNA", at positions 524 to 776 of the family's 1533-position model. The record is from RNAcentral.